GGUGAAAAGCACCCCGGAAGGGGAGUGAAAUAGAACCUGAAACCGUGUGCUUACAAGUAGUCAGAGCCCGUUAAUGGGUGAUGGCGUGCCUUUUGUAGAAUGAACCGGCGAGUUACGAUUUGAUGCAAGGUUAAGCAGUAAAUGUGGAGCCGUAGCGAAAGCGAGUCUGAAUAGGGCGUUUAGUAUUUGGUCGUAGACCCGAAACCAGGUGAUCUACCCUUGGUCAGGUUGAAGUUCAGGUAACACUGAAUGGAGGACCGAACCGACUUACGUUGAAAAGUGAGCGGAUGAACUGAGGGUAGCGGAGAAAUUCCAAUCGAACCUGGAGAUAGCUGGUUCUCUCCGAAAUAGCUUUAGGGCUAGCCUCAAGUGAUGAUUAUUGGAGGUAGAGCACUGUUUGGACGAGGGGCCCCUCUCGGGUUACCGAAUUCAGACAAACUCCGAAUGCCAAUUAAUUUAACUUGGGAGUCAGAACAUGGGUGAUAAGGUCCGUGUUCGAAAGGGAAACAGCCCAGACCACCAGCUAAGGUCCCAAAAUAUAUGUUAAGUGGAAAAGGAUGUGGCGUUGCCCAGACAACUAGGAUGUUGGCUUAGAAGCAGCCAUCAUUUAAAGAGUGCGUAAUAGCUCACUAGUCGAGUGACACUGCGCCGAAAAUGUACCGGGGCUAAACAUAUUACCGAAGCUGUGGAUUGUCCUUUGGACAAUGGUAGGAGAGCGUUCUAAGGGCGUUGAAGCAUGAUCGUAAGGACAUGUGGAGCGCUUAGAAGUGAGAAUGCCGGUGUGAGUAGCGAAAGACGGGUGAGAAUCCCGUCCACCGAUUGACUAAGGUUUCCAGAGGAAGGCUCGUCCGCUCUGGGUUAGUCGGGUCCUAAGCUGAGGCCGACAGGCGUAGGCGAUGGAUAACAGGUUGAUAUUCCUGUACCACCUAUAAUCGUUUUAAUCGAUGGGGGGACGCAGUAGGAUAGGCGAAGCGUGCGAUUGGAUUGCACGUCUAAGCAGUAAGGCUGAGUAUUAGGCAAAUCCGGUACUCAUUAAGGCUGAGCUGUGAUGGGGAGAAGACAUUGUGUCUUCGAGUCGUUGAUUUCACACUGCCGAGAAAAGCCUCUAGAUAGAAAAUAGGUGCCCGUACCGCAAACCGACACAGGUAGUCAAGAUGAGAAUUCUAAGGUGAGCGAGCGAACUCUCGUUAAGGAACUCGGCAAAAUGACCCCGUAACUUCGGGAGAAGGGGUGCUCUUUAGGGUUAACGCCCAGAAGAGCCGCAGUGAAUAGGCCCAAGCGACUGUUUAUCAAAAACACAGGUCUCUGCUAAACCGUAAGGUGAUGUAUAGGGGCUGACGCCUGCCCGGUGCUGGAAGGUUAAGAGGAGUGGUUAGCUUCUGCGAAGCUACGAAUCGAAGCCCCAGUAAACGGCGGCCGUAACUAUAACGGUCCUAAGGUAGCGAAAUUCCUUGUCGGGUAAGUUCCGACCCGCACGAAAGGCGUAACGAUUUGGGCACUGUCUCAACGAGAGACUCGGUGAAAUCAUAGUACCUGUGAAGAUGCAGGUUACCCGCGACAGGACGGAAAGACCCCGUGGAGCUUUACUGUAGCCUGAUAUUGAAAUUCGGCACAGCUUGUACAGGAUAGGUAGGAGCCUUUGAAACGUGAGCGCUAGCUUACGUGGAGGCGCUGGUGGGAUACUACCCUAGCUGUGUUGGCUUUCUAACCCGCACCACUUAUCGUGGUGGGAGACAGUGUCAGGCGGGCAGUUUGACUGGGGCGGUCGCCUCCUAAAAGGUAACGGAGGCGCUCAAAGGUUCCCUCAGAAUGGUUGGAAAUCAUUCAUAGAGUGUAAAGGCAUAAGGGAGCUUGACUGCGAGACCUACAAGUCGAGCAGGGUCGAAAGACGGACUUAGUGAUCCGGUGGUUCCGCAUGGAAGGGCCAUCGCUCAACGGAUAAAAGCUACCCCGGGGAUAACAGGCUUAUCUCCCCCAAGAGUUCACAUCGACGGGGAGGUUUGGCACCUCGAUGUCGGCUCAUCGCAUCCUGGGGCUGUAGUCGGUCCCAAGGGUUGGGCUGUUCGCCCAUUAAAGCGGUACGCGAGCUGGGUUCAGAACGUCGUGAGACAGUUCGGUCCCUAUCCGUCGUGGGCGUAGGAAAUUUGAGAGGAGCUGUCCUUAGUACGAGAGGACCGGGAUGGACAUACCUCUGGUGUACCAGUUGUCGUGCCAACGGCAUAGCUGGGUAGCUAUGUGUGGACGGGAUAAGUGCUGAAAGCAUCUAAGCAUGAA
Molecule: ribosomal RNA, 2274 nt
Filed under: Staphylococcus aureus
Lineage: Bacteria; Bacillati; Bacillota; Bacilli; Caryophanales; Staphylococcaceae
Description: partial 23S ribosomal RNA
Rfam family: Bacterial large subunit ribosomal RNA
Source: RNAcentral